This 808-nucleotide long non-coding RNA is filed under the name Olea europaea subsp. europaea. Lineage: Eukaryota; Viridiplantae; Streptophyta; Magnoliopsida; Lamiales; Oleaceae. The record is from RNAcentral.
CUUGUCAGAUUUUAACUCUAACUCUUUAUUUCUCAAUACAUUUAUUAUCACAUCAGUAGUUAGAGUCUCCCUUCCAUAUUCAAUAGCAUUUUUGACAUCUUUAUAUUUAUCACUUAGUGAAUUUAACAAAAUCACAGCCAGCUGCUCUUUUGAGAGUUUCUCAUCACAGUCGGCUAGGUCACGGGAUAAUCUGUUGAAUCUAUUAAUGUUAGCGUCAAGAUCAAGAGAUGGGUCCAAUUUGAAACCAAAAAAUUGUUUUAGAAGAUACACUUUAUUAGGCAUGGUUUUAUUCAAAUAAGUAUCUUCCAAUUUUUUCCACAACUCAGCAGCAGUUUUUGUCUCACCAAUUUCUCUCAACACAUUGUCAGACAAAUGCAAGAAUAUAGAACUCCAUGCAAUUUCAUCAAAUUCAGUUUUCUUAAUUUCUUCCAUAUCAUUAGGCCAUGAUUUUUGUUGAAGCAAAAGGGCUCGCAUUUUCUGGCGCCAGAGACUAAAGUCUCCUUUACCAUUAAAAAUCUCCAAUUCAACUUUAGUUGACAUUAUCAAAACUCAAUUUGAUAAAAAAAACAAUGCAGGCAGAUCACAUACAAAGUCAACAGUAUAUUCAACUUGCAGGAACUCAAAUGUCAUACACCAUAAUCAAAUUUAAAGUGCACAGUUAGCAAGUGAGUUAUACAAUACAUGUUAUGCAGUAAGAUCUCAUCAGUCCAUUCACCACAUGAAUAAGCAGUUUACACAAAAACCAGCAGUGUCAAGUCACAAGUAUAACAUGCCAUAUACAUUAUAAUAAACUCAUGCAGAAAACAUA